Molecule: transfer RNA, 72 nt
Organism: Ovis aries (sheep)
Lineage: Eukaryota; Metazoa; Chordata; Mammalia; Artiodactyla; Bovidae
Rfam family: tRNA
About the family: Transfer RNA (tRNA) molecules are approximately 80 nucleotides in length. Their secondary structure includes four short double-helical elements and three loops (D, anti-codon, and T loops). Further hydrogen bonds mediate the characteristic L-shaped molecular structure. tRNAs have two regions of fundamental functional importance: the anti-codon, which is responsible for specific mRNA codon recognition, and the 3' end, to which the tRNAs corresponding amino acid is attached (by aminoacyl-tRNA synthetases). tRNAs cope with the degeneracy of the genetic code in two manners: having more than one tRNA (with a specific anti-codon) for a particular amino acid; and 'wobble' base-pairing, i.e. permitting non-standard base-pairing at the 3rd anti-codon position.
Source: Rfam
UCCCUUGUAGCUCAGGUGGUAAAGCAUCUGCCUGCAAUGCAGAAGGCCCAGGUUUGACCCCUGGGUCAGGAA